ACUCUUCUAGUAUAACAAAUACAAUCGACUUCCAAUCCUUAGAGUCUGGUUUAAAUCCAGAGAAGAGUA
This 69-nucleotide transfer RNA is filed under the name Hirundo dimidiata. RNAcentral describes it as "tRNA-Gly". It matches the Rfam family "tRNA". Rfam says of the family: Transfer RNA (tRNA) molecules are approximately 80 nucleotides in length. Their secondary structure includes four short double-helical elements and three loops (D, anti-codon, and T loops). Further hydrogen bonds mediate the characteristic L-shaped molecular structure. tRNAs have two regions of fundamental functional importance: the anti-codon, which is responsible for specific mRNA codon recognition, and the 3' end, to which the tRNAs corresponding amino acid is attached (by aminoacyl-tRNA synthetases). tRNAs cope with the degeneracy of the genetic code in two manners: having more than one tRNA (with a specific anti-codon) for a particular amino acid; and 'wobble' base-pairing, i.e. permitting non-standard base-pairing at the 3rd anti-codon position. Lineage: Eukaryota; Metazoa; Chordata; Aves; Passeriformes; Hirundinidae. The record is from RNAcentral.